GACGAACGCUGGCGGCGUGCUUAACACAUGCAAGUCGAACGGUAAGGCCCUUUCGGGGGUACACGAGUGGCGAACGGGUGCGUAACACGUGGGUGAUCUGCCCUGCACUUUGGGAUAAGCCUGGGAAACUGGGUCUAAUACCGGAUAGGACUACGCGAUGCAUGUCGUGUGGUGGAAAGCUUUUGCGGUGUGGGAUGGGCCCGCGGCCUAUCAGCUUGUUGGUGGGGUGAUGGCCUACCAAGGCGACGACGGGUAGCCGGCCUGAGAGGGUGUCCGGCCAAAAUGGGACUGAGGUACGGCCCAGGCUCCUACGGGAGGCAGCAGGUGGGAAUAUUUCCCAAUGGGCGCAAGCCUGAUGCAGCGACGCCGGGGGGGGGAAGACGGCCUUCGGGUUGUAAACCCCUUUCAGCACAGACGAAGCGUAAGUGACGGUAUGUGCAGAAGAAGCACCGGCCAACUACGUG
Molecule: ribosomal RNA, 464 nt
Filed under: uncultured bacterium
Lineage: Bacteria
Description: partial 16S ribosomal RNA
Rfam family: Bacterial small subunit ribosomal RNA
Source: RNAcentral